GACGAACGCUGGCGGCGUGCUUAACACAUGCAAGUCGAGCGGUAAGGCCCUUUCGGGGGUACACGAGCGGCGAACGGGUGAGUAACACGUGGGUGACCUGCCCUCAGCUCUGGGAUAAGCCUGGGAAACCGGGUCUAAUACUGGAUAUGACUCCAUGACGCAUGUUGUGGGGUGGAAAGCCUUGUGCGGCUGAGGAUGGGCCCGCGGCCUAUCAGCUUGUUGGUGGGGUGANGGCCUACCAAGGCGACGACGGGUAGCCGGCCUGAGAGGGCGACCGGCCACACUGGGACUGAGACACGGCCCAGACUCCUACGGGAGGCAGCAGUGGGGAAUAUUGGACAAUGGGCGAAAGCCUGAUCCAGCGACGCCGCGUGUGUGAAGAAGGCCUGCGGGUUGUAAA
This 400-nucleotide ribosomal RNA is filed under the name uncultured bacterium. Its description in RNAcentral is "bacterial SSU rRNA". It matches the Rfam family "Bacterial small subunit ribosomal RNA", at positions 28 to 429 of the family's 1533-position model. The record is from RNAcentral.